Molecule: long non-coding RNA, 749 nt
Organism: Tetranychus urticae (two-spotted spider mite)
Lineage: Eukaryota; Metazoa; Arthropoda; Arachnida; Trombidiformes; Tetranychidae
Source: RefSeq, a predicted model, not a curated record
AAUUGCUAUGAUGAUAGCAAUUAUGUCUAUUAAUUUGGGUUUAAUACUUUUACUAUUCAUAUGUGGCGCGCUCUUUUUAUUUGGUAGUACAAGAUGAAAAGGAUUGGACAAGAAAGUGAUUGAUCGGGUGAAUCGCUUUGUUUGCCUGUAAUUGUAAUUGCGUUUUUUUACUUAAAUAUAUAAUCAAAUUGGUUAAACAAGUUCAAGGAAGAAAUGGUUUAUUAAGAAAUGCAAUUUUAUUUGAAUUCACCAGGUUCAACAAUGGGAAAAUGGUUGAACCAGGUUUACAGAGUUGAUUAUGUAUUCCAAUUUGUUGGCCUCAGUUUCAUGAUAAGGUUACUGUGUAACUAAUAUACUCGUUUGUUCCUCUUCACCAUAAUGUUAAUCAUCAUCAACAUCAUUAACAUGAAUAUUAUUUCUUUACAUGCUGCUUUUAAUCACAAUUUACAUUUUUUACAAGUAAAGGUCAACAACUGGUGACAAUGUUGAGGCUUAUAUAAAAAAGCCAGCGAAGGAACAUGCAACAUUUUAAUACUAAUUCAUUUCGAGAGGUAUCAAUGGAAAAAUUAAAUUAAUGUUUCCUUCAACAAUUAAAAUCAUCUUUUCAAUACUAAAAGACAAAUUAUAUAAUCUUGAUCAGUAAAUGCGAUAAUUGUUUUGUUUCAGUUAGAUUGUUUCGCACUGGAUCUUUUGUCAAAAAAGAAGCUUAAAAUGUAUAUUGAAGUUUCAUUAAAACAAGUGGUGUUUCA